Molecule: ribosomal RNA, 427 nt
Filed under: uncultured bacterium
Lineage: Bacteria
Description: partial 16S ribosomal RNA
Rfam family: Bacterial small subunit ribosomal RNA
Source: RNAcentral
UGGGGAAUAUUGGACAAUGGGCGAAAGCCUGAUCCAGCCAUGCCGCGUGUGUGAAGAAGGUCUUCGGAUUGUAAAGCACUUUAAGUUGGGAGGAAGGGCAUUAACCUAAUACGUUAGUGUUUUGACGUUACCGACAGAAUAAGCACCGGCUAACUCUGUGCCAGCAGCCGCGGCAAUACAGAGGGUGCAAGCGUUAAUCGGAAUUACUGGGCGUAAAGCGCGCGUAGGUGGUUUGUUAAAUUGGAUGUGAAAUCCCCGGGCUCAACCUGGGAACUGCAUUCAAAACUGACUGACUAGAGUAUGGUAGAGGGUGGUGGAAUUUCCUGUGUAGCGGUGAAAUGCGUAGAUAUAGGAAGGAACACCAGUGGCGAAGGCGACCACCUGGACUAAUACUGACACUGAGGUGCGAAAGCGUGGGGAGCAAACA